This 588-nucleotide ribosomal RNA is filed under the name Entamoeba bovis. RNAcentral's name for it is "SSU rRNA". It matches the Rfam family "Eukaryotic small subunit ribosomal RNA", at positions 1 to 600 of the family's 1831-position model. Lineage: Eukaryota; Evosea; Mastigamoebida; Endamoebidae. The record is from RNAcentral.
UGUUGAUCCCCUCCAGUAUUAUAUGCUGAUGUUAAAGAUUAAGCCAUGCAUGUGUAAGUUUAAAGACCAAGUAGGAUGAAACUGCGGACGGCUCAUUAUAACAGUAAUAGUUUCUUUGGUUAGUAGGUACAAGGAUAACUUUGUGAAUGAUAAAGCUAAUACUUGAGACGAUCCGGGGAGUAUUUAUACUUUUCGGCCCUCGGCCGCGAGGUUGGGGAGAAACGACAUUCUCUUGUGAAAAAGGAUGCCGCGACAAUUGAGGAAAGCGACGCUUUUAACAAGUAACCAAUGGGAAUUUCUGAUCUAUCAAUUUGUUGGUAGUAUCGAGGACUACCAAGAUUAUAACGGAUAACGAGGAAUUGGGGUUCGACAUCGGAGAGGGAGCUUUACAGAUGGCUACCACUUCUAAGGAAGGCAGCAGGCGCGUAAAUUACCCACUUUCGACUCGAAGAGGUAGUGACGACAAAUAACUCUUGGCGCCCCUCGGGGUGCCUUGAAGGAAUGAUUUAAAAGUAAAUUCUCUAAAGAAAUCAAUUGGAGGGCAAGUCUGGUGCCAGCAGCCGCGGUAAUUCCAGCUCCCAAUAGGGA